CCAGCGAGGGUUUACAAUCUACUCAUCUCACAUUGAAAGAAUAUAAAUGGAACUCUUUCGACCCUUGAUGCCCGAUUGUGUUCUCCGUAAAUUUACCUAAAUCCUGGUGGAUAAGGAGGAUGCAAAUUAAUAAUGGCAAGCUUCUAACAGCUCAAGAACACGUAGCUUCAACAUUAACUUCAUGCACGCUUGUAUCCACUUCUUCAUCCGAUUCAUUUGAAAUGGGGGAAAUUUCCUUAUCCCUGUUUACAUCUUCAUUAGCUGCAUCCAAUUCAUCAACAUUCUUUGCUCGAAUCCUAACACGCUUUCCUUUGAUGUACCGAUAUUCCCAUUUCGGUGGUGGAUAUUUCUUCUUUAAUUUGUCGUAUUUGUCCAGCAUACCCAGCUUCUUGAAUGCACUUCCCAUCAUAUUAACAAUGGCAACAUUUGGUUGGACACCGAGCUCCUCCAUGUCAGCAAAUAUCUCGAACAUCUUCUCAUGCAUAUCCC
Molecule: unclassified non-coding RNA, 489 nt
Filed under: Hevea brasiliensis (rubber tree)
Lineage: Eukaryota; Viridiplantae; Streptophyta; Magnoliopsida; Malpighiales; Euphorbiaceae
Source: RNAcentral